This 561-nucleotide ribosomal RNA is filed under the name Saccharomyces cerevisiae (brewer's yeast). RNAcentral's name for it is "partial large subunit ribosomal RNA". It matches the Rfam family "Eukaryotic large subunit ribosomal RNA", at positions 50 to 625 of the family's 3401-position model. Lineage: Eukaryota; Fungi; Ascomycota; Saccharomycetes; Saccharomycetales; Saccharomycetaceae. The record is from RNAcentral.
GCGGAGGAAAAGAAACCAACCGGGAUUGCCUUAGUAACGGCGAGUGAAGCGGCAAAAGCUCAAAUUUGAAAUCUGGUACCUUCGGUGCCCGAGUUGUAAUUUGGAGAGGGCAACUUUGGGGCCGUUCCUUGUCUAUGUUCCUUGGAACAGGACGUCAUAGAGGGUGAGAAUCCCGUGUGGCGAGGAGUGCGGUUCUUUGUAAAGUGCCUUCGAAGAGUCGAGUUGUUUGGGAAUGCAGCUCUAAGUGGGUGGUAAAUUCCAUCUAAAGCUAAAUAUUGGCGAGAGACCGAUAGCGAACAAGUACAGUGAUGGAAAGAUGAAAAGAACUUUGAAAAGAGAGUGAAAAAGUACGUGAAAUUGUUGAAAGGGAAGGGCAUUUGAUCAGACAUGGUGUUUUGUGCCCUCUGCUCCUUGUGGGUAGGGGAAUCUCGCAUUUCACUGGGCCAGCAUCAGUUUUGGUGGCAGGAUAAAUCCAUAGGAAUGUAGCUUGCCUCGGUAAGUAUUAUAGCCUGUGGGAAUACUGCCAGCUGGGACUGAGGACUGCGACGUAAGUCAAGGAUG